This 3432-nucleotide ribosomal RNA is filed under the name Triticum aestivum (bread wheat). RNAcentral's name for it is "partial small subunit ribosomal RNA". Lineage: Eukaryota; Viridiplantae; Streptophyta; Magnoliopsida; Poales; Poaceae. The record is from RNAcentral.
AUGUCUCCUCAGGCUCUGGGCACUCUCAGUUCCUCACUUCCCCUGGUCCUUGUCCUCUGCUCCCUUGUUUAUGCAUCUUCAUUAGAUUCUAUAGCACCCCAAAAUGAUUCUAACACCGACCUCCAUGCUCUCUGCUGCCUUAAACUCCAUCUCACGACCUCUGCUGGACUCCUGGUCUCAUGGAAAAAUGACUCGCUGCAGUUCUGCAGUUGGUCCGGUGUUACUUGCAGCAAGAGACAUGCAUCUCGUGUCAUUGCACUGGACCUCGAGUCACUUGACCUCGAUGGACAGAUACCACCAUGUAUCGGCAAUCUCACUUUCCUCACAAAAAUCCACAUCCCCAACAAUCAACUUACUGGCCAAAUACCACCUGAACUUGGGCAACUAAAUAGGCUGCGGUACCUUAACCUCAGCACAAACAAUCUUACUGGCAGGAUCCCAAGCACUCUGUCUUCAUGCGUUCACCUUCAAACUAUUGAUCUUGGAAGCAACUCCCUUGAUGGUGUGAUCCCCCCAAGCCUAAGCCAAUGCUCAGAUAUGCAGCAGCUCAGUUUGGGUCACAACAAGCUCAGUGGAGGUAUCCCAGAAGGGUUGGGGAUGCUCCGAAACCUUGCAGUUUUACGUCUUGCUACAAAUAGUCUGACGGGCAGCAUUCCACGUUCACUUGGAAGCAGCUCUUCUCUUCACUCUGUUGUUCUCACGAACAAUAGCCUCACAGGACCUAUCCCGCCUCUCCUAGCUAAUAGUUCCUCACUUCAACUUUUGGCCUUAUCAAACAAUCACCUGAGUGGAGAGAUUCCUCCUGCACUGUUUAACAGUACAUCACUCCAAAAGUUAUUACUGGGAACAAACAGCUUUGCUGGGUCCAUACCAGCCUUGUUGAACAUUGACUCACCCUUGCAGUAUCUUAUCUUGCAAUCAAAUAAUCUUUCUGGCACCAUACCUUCCUUUAUAGGGAACUUUUCCUCCCUUCGCUGGCUCUUGCUUGGAGAUAAUAAUUUCCAAGGUAACAUCCCCAUGAGUAUAGAUGAAAUUCGAAACCUGGAAAUACUAGACAUCACUUAUAACUUUUUGACAGGGAGUGUCCCAGCCUCUCUUUACAACAUGUCAGCACUCACAUACCUUGGCAUGGCUACAAACAAUCUUGUAGGGGAGCUUCCACACAACAUCGGAUACACCCUUCCAAGCAUCCAAACUUUGAUUAUGCAAGGAAACCAGUUCCAAGGCCAAAUCCCCACUUCACUAGCAAACACAACCAAUCUCCAGGUGAUCAACCUCCGGAACAAUGCAUUCCAUGGCAUUGUUCCAUCUUUUGGGAUUUUACCCAGCCUAGUCGAUCUGAAUCUAGGCAAGAAUCAACUUGAAGCAGGAGACUGGUCUUUCCUAUCCUCGUUGACAAAUUGCACACAACUGGUGAACUUACGCUUGGAUGCAAACAUCCUUCAAGGAGUCUUGCCGAGUGUCGUUGCAGGCCUUUCAAAGAGCAUAGAGGUACUGUUACUAAGAUCAAAUAAAAUUUCUGGCACCAUACCACAUGAGAUAGAGCACCUCACAGGCCUCAAGCUUCUUUACAUGGAACGGAAUUUGCUUACCGGGAAUCUUCCUGAGUCAAUUGGAAAUCUUCCCAACUUGUUUGUCUUAAGCUUGUCCCAGAACAAAUUUUCUGGACAGAUCCCACUUUCAGUUGGUAAUUUGAGUCAAUUGAGUGAGCUUUACUUACAAGAAAACAGUUUGAGUGGCCCAAUCCCAGAAGCUUUAGGAGACUGCAAAAAACUGCACAUAUUGAACCUCUCUUGUAACAGCUUCAACGGAAGCAUACCAAAGGAGCUCUUUACUCUUUCCGACCUUUCUGAAGGUUUGGACUUGUCUCACAACCAACUCUCUGGAGAAAUACCAAUGGAGAUUGGCGAGUUGAUCAAUCUCGGUCCACUGAAUAUCUCCUAUAACCAACUGUCUGGUCAGAUACCAUCUACUCUAGGUCAGUGCGUCCAAUUGGAGUCGCUCCACAUGGAGGGCAACCGUCUUCAUGGAAGAAUCCCUCAAUCUUUUGUGAAUUUGAGAGGCAUCACUGUGAUGGACCUAUCUCAGAACAACUUAACAGGUGAAAUCCCUGAAUUCUUGAAGCUCUUCAAGUCUAUGAAGCUUCUCAAUUUGUCCUUCAACAACCUCGAAGGAUCAGUACCUGCAGAUGGAAUAUUUCAGAAUGGAAGCAAUGUGUUCAUUCAAGGAAACAAGAAGCUAUGUGCGAGCACCCCAUUGCUACAGUUGCCACUUUGCAAUGCAGAAACAUCCAAACAAAGGCACACCUCCAACAUCUUAAAGAUAGUAGGAUUUACUGCUCUUUUUUUGGUCCUGGUAUCAUGCUUCGGAGUAAUUAUUUGGAAAAAGAGAAAGAAAGUCACACAAGCAGCUCAUCCAUCCUUUGAAGAGUUACAGAAGUUUACAUAUGCUGAUUUAUUGAAAGCAACAAAUGGUUUCUCUUUAGACAACUUGGUUGGUUCAGGAAAAUAUGGGUCCGUGUACAAAGGUAGAAUUGAGUCCGAAGUACAUGAAGUUGCUAUCAAAGUUUUCAAACUUGAUCAACUUGGAGCAACAAAGAGCUUCCUCGAUGAGUGUGAGGCCCUGAGAAACACUCGUCAUCGUAAUCUUGUACGGGUGAUCACUGUAUGCUCAACAAGUGAUCCAACAGGAAAUGAGUUCAAAGCUCUUGUUCUUGAAUAUAAGGUAAAUGGGGACCUCGAAAGUUGGCUCUAUCCAACAUUCCACGAGCAUCACCUGAGAAGGCCAUUGAGUUUAUAUUCAAGAAUAGCAAUAGCAGUGGACAUAGCGGCUGCUUUGGAUUACCUUCAUAACAACUGCAUGCCUCCUAUGGUCCAUUGUGAUCUGAAGCCCAGCAAUGUCCUCCUAAAUGAUGUCAUGGGCGCAUGUGUUGGUGACUUCGGAUUGGCUAAGUUCCUACGCAAUUAUUCUUAUUCGAGCAUUGGUGGUUCUACAAGCUUAGUGGGACCAAGAGGAUCAGUUGGAUACAUUGCACCAGAAUAUGGCUUUGGGAGCAAAAUCUCCACUGAGGGUGAUGUCUACAGUUUUGGAGUCAUCAUCUUAGAAAUGCUCACAGGGAAGCGUCCAACUGAUGAGAUGUUUAAAGAUGGUCUGAGCCUUUACAAAUUUAUCGAAAAAUCAUUUCCAGAAAAGAUUGGCGAGAUUCUAGAUCCUAGAAUUGCUCCGUAUUAUGGGGAGCAAGAUGAAGAAGCAGGAGGUACUUUAGACCAAGAAAAUCAUCAUCAAAUGGCUGGAAUAAUGAGCUGCAUCAUCGAGCUCGUUAAGAUUGGCCUCAUGUGCGCCGCAGAGAUACCUAAAGAUCGUCCCGCAAUGCAGGACGUUUACAUUGAGGUCACCGUAAUCAAAGAAGCAUUUUCAGCACUGCAGGGCUGA